RNAcentral lists this ribosomal RNA (494 nucleotides) under uncultured bacterium. Its description in RNAcentral is "partial 16S ribosomal RNA". It matches the Rfam family "Bacterial small subunit ribosomal RNA", at positions 28 to 507 of the family's 1533-position model. The record is from RNAcentral.
GACGAACGCUGGCGGCGCGCUUAACACAUGCAAGUCGAACGGAAAGGCCUGCUUUCCCUUGUGGAUUGCGGGUACUCGAGUGGCGAACGGGUGAGUAACACGUGAGUGAUCUGCCCCCAACUUGGGUAUAAGCCUGGGAAACUGGGUCUAAUUCCCGAUAGGACUGCAGGGUGGUGCCUGUGGUGGAAAACGAUUUUCUAGUGGUUGGGGAUGAGCUCGCGGCCUAUCAGCUUGUUGGUGGGGUAAUGGCCUACCAAGGCGGCGACGGGUAGCCGGCCUGAGAGGGUGGACGGCCACAUUGGGACUGAGAUACGGCCCAGACUCCUACGGGAGGCAGCAGUGGGGAAUAUUGCACAAUGGGCGGAAGCCUGAUGCAGCGACGCCGCGUGGGGGAUGACGGCCUUCGGGUUGUAAACUCCUUUCGACCGCGAGGAAGCCACCUGGUUGGAAGAGUGGUGACGGUAGUGGUAGAAGAAGCACCGGCUAACUACGUG